UUUUUGCCUGCGGGCGGAGGCGGUUGGGUGCGGUUGGAGAGCCGCUUGGGAAUCCGGCCUCGGACACCGACGGUUGUUGCGAUGCGGCUGUGGCGUCCGCGGGCUGAGACCGAUCCCUUCAUGGAGACAGAGAAGGAAAAGACCGGGGAGCACCCCAGGAAGGACAGGAAGAGGAGGCAGGUCUCCAACCAGCUGGUCCGGGCGACAGAGCCGAGGAGAGCCUGUUGGGCUCUGAAGGACUUGCGGCCUGAGGCCAAGAAAGCUCGCUUAUCUGCCAUUUUAUUUGCUUGUAAUUGUCAAGUAACCCCUGGCCAACUGUGUGAAUUGCUGAAGUAUGCAGUUCUGGGCAGAUCCAUUGUGCCUAGACCCAGUUGGUGCCAGAUUUUUCACCAAAACCACCCGAACAAUGUAGUGGUUUUUAUUCUUCAAGGGAUGAGUCAGUUGCAUUUCUACAAGUUCUAUUUGGAGUUCGAAUUUCUCCGGAAGAUAUUCAGACAUAAAUUCUGCUUGCCUCCUCAAUCAUCUAAUUUUCUAGCUGAUAUCAUUGGCCUGCAAAAGAAAACAACUGGAGAUCUGCCCAAGACCAGUAAAGGAUCUUUACCUUCUUCUAGUUCAAAAGCCAACAUCAACCUGCAUAAUGACUCCAUUAUUCAAAAGCAUGGCUCUAAAAAAGUAGGCCUGAGCUGCUGCCUUCUAACAAUGGAGGAAAUGAAAACAUUUCACUUUCCAUUACAAGGUUCUCCUGACUGUGAAAACUUUAUACCUACCAAAUGUAAUGGUUCUAUAACAGACAACAGCCCUCUGUUUGGACUUGCUUGUGAAAUGUGCCUCACAUCCAAGGGGAGAGAACUAACACGCAUCUCACUGGUAGCUGAAGGGGGCUGCUGUAUUAUGGAUGAACUGGUCAAACCUGAUAUCAGGAUUGUGGACUACCACACCAGCUUUUCAGGAAUCACAAAGACUAUUUUUAACUCAGUGGCAACCAAACUCAAAGAUGUACAGAGGCAAUUAAGUGCACUGCUUCCACCUGAUGCUGUGUUAGUCGGACACUCGCUAGACUUGGAUCUCAGAGCAUUGAAAAUGAUACAUCCAUAUCUUAUUGAUACCUCAUUGCUUUAUGUCAGAGAGCAGGGCAGAAGAUUUAAGCUAAAAUUCUUAGCCAAAGCUAUUUUGGGGAAGGAUAUACAGCAUCCAAACACGCUUCAGCAUGAUGCCACAGAAGAUGCUAGAACAGCCCUUGAAUUGGCUCAGUAUUUCCUUAAGUAUGGCCCAAAGAAGAUUGCAGAGCUCAAUCUGGAGUCACUAGGUAGUCACCAAGAACUGCAAGCAGCAGGUCAAAAGCCAAGAAACACAACAGAAAUUCCACACCCAAACACAAGUGUUUUAGAAUGUGUGAACUUAGUGGGUCAGAAGCUCCUUUUUGUGGCACUGGAGAAAGGCGCUACUGAACUUUCUUCUUAUGGAAACUGUGAAACUAUUAAGUGCCUUUCAAAUAAAGAGGUCUUUGAGCAGGCCAGAGUGGAAAUUCCCCUCUUUCCCUUCAGCAUUGUCCAGUUCUCUUUUGACCCCUUUACACCUGUCUUCACUGAGGAGAUGAGUAAAAGGAUGAAGACCAAAUGGAGAGAGAUGUCAACUGUCUAUGCUGGGCCAGUUAGCAGAACUUACAACUUCAGGCCUCUGAAGAGGCUUUUGAAAAGCUUUGGCCCAAUUCAGUCAAUGUCUUUUGUUCUUGAAACUUAUCAGCCUCAUCUCUGUGUACAGUAUGAAGUCCUGGAAGCUGCUCAGCUGGCCAUAGAGUCCUUGAAUGGCAUUGUGGUGGAAGGUAUCUGCAUCAAGGUGCAGAGGCCUGUGACAGAGCUUACCCUUGACUGUGACAUUCUUAUGAAAGAGCUGGAACGAGAUUCUGAGAACCGAGAUACUAUUUAUCUGUCAGGAGUGAGUGAAUCCUUCAAAGAUCACAUAUUUCAUGUGUCCAGCCACUUCCCAGGCCUGGAAGCUGUGAUCCUUCCUAAAGAUCUUGAAAGUGGAAAGCAGAAAAAAUUCUGUUUCAUGAAAUUCAAAACUUUUGCCAGUGCCCAGAGGGCCCUCAACAUUCUCACAGGCAAGGACUGGAAGCUGAAAGGCAGGGGGGCCCUAACCCCCAGGCACCUCCACAAAUGGCUCAGGGGAUUCUCACCUGAAUCAAGAUGGCCUCCAGGGCUUCGAGUAAUGCCUCCUCCUUCGGAGCAGCAGGCCUUACAGACUCUGAAGACGGACCAUCCAAAGGUAGCUGCCUGGUACUGGGGCCAGAAGAUUGGAAAGCUCUACCAGAAUAUGAACCCAGGUACCCUCUGCCUCAUCCUGCUGCCAGGAUGCAAGAGGAUUACCCCGCUGUGCUCUCACCCACAAAUAACCUCAACUGGGACGCAUGACCACGACAGUAUGUAGAGCUACUGCUUCAUAGGCCUGGCUGAUGUGAGAAUUAGAAGGAACAAGAGGCUUCAUGGAAUGACAGAGGCGUACCCCGAGGCCACUGUAUUGGCAUGUUGAGUGCCUUUGCACAUGAAAGGAAAAGAUGGUUGGCGUCCAGAUACUUACAAGCUGCCUGGUAAUGCUACUUCAAAUGUGACCUAAAAUUUAGACAAAGGCGUUGUUCUGUGAAAAGAAAUGUGCAGUACAUAUCAGAAACAGGAAGCUUUACAAAAACAAAAGUGCCUGGGCCUGGCCCCAAGAUUUUUAUUCCAUAGGUCUGCUAUAGCAUCAGGUAAGUAUUGUGUAUGUGUGUGUGUGGGGGGGGUUCCCUCUGGAUCAGAACCACAGCUUGGCUCAGAACAUUUAAGCUUUAGAGAAACUGGGGGGGAAGAAGCGUAUCUUGUAAAGCCAAGUCAGUUCUAGCCUAACUGGCAUCACUGCCAGUGGUGCUCUCUCUCCUCCUCUGUUCACCGGCUGACAUAAAGUAUUUGUGACUAACCUGGUG
Molecule: non-coding RNA, 2956 nt
Organism: Heterocephalus glaber (naked mole-rat)
Lineage: Eukaryota; Metazoa; Chordata; Mammalia; Rodentia; Bathyergidae
Source: RefSeq, a predicted model, not a curated record